Glycine soja is the source of this 289-nucleotide long non-coding RNA. RefSeq lists it as uncharacterized. The record is from RefSeq and is a predicted model, not a curated record. NCBI's taxonomy places the organism in Eukaryota, Viridiplantae, Streptophyta, Magnoliopsida, Fabales, Fabaceae. The transcript is spliced from 2 exons.
AAACACAGAGUUUCUAACGGGAGGCAAACCCUAAUUGUUUAGCAAUCUGAUCCAAUUAAAAAAAAAAGUGAUUUUAUGUGAUGUUCCCUCUAGCAACUUACACCUUCUCCCCUAUAUAAGAUAUUUGAAAAUCGUUGCAGAAAUCAUGAUCGGCCUGUUGGAUUAAGAAGCGGCAAGUGCAUCCAAGCAUGUCAUCAAAGCAACUAGGAUGUUGUGUGUUACUAUAUAUUUGAUUAUAUAUAUGAUCAUUAUAUAUAUAUGGCAUGAGAUUCAUUUUCUUUUUUGAUUA